RNAcentral lists this transfer RNA (76 nucleotides) under Desulfococcaceae bacterium HSG7. RNAcentral's name for it is "tRNA-Ile". It matches the Rfam family "tRNA". From Rfam's summary of the family: Transfer RNA (tRNA) molecules are approximately 80 nucleotides in length. Their secondary structure includes four short double-helical elements and three loops (D, anti-codon, and T loops). Further hydrogen bonds mediate the characteristic L-shaped molecular structure. tRNAs have two regions of fundamental functional importance: the anti-codon, which is responsible for specific mRNA codon recognition, and the 3' end, to which the tRNAs corresponding amino acid is attached (by aminoacyl-tRNA synthetases). tRNAs cope with the degeneracy of the genetic code in two manners: having more than one tRNA (with a specific anti-codon) for a particular amino acid; and 'wobble' base-pairing, i.e. permitting non-standard base-pairing at the 3rd anti-codon position. The record is from RNAcentral. RNAcentral also lists the same sequence under 2 other names. Lineage: Bacteria; Pseudomonadati; Thermodesulfobacteriota; Desulfobacteria; Desulfobacterales; Desulfococcaceae.
UACAUACUAGCUCAUUUGGUAGAGCAUCAGGCUUAUAUCCUGCAUGUAGUCGGUUCGAUUCCGACGUAUAUACCCA